GGCUGGUCCGGCGGUGCGAGGUCCGGGACCAGCAGAGAGGCCGUCUCCGAACCGGCUUCGCUGGCCGAGAGGCCCGGGGAGGCCACGCUUCCGUAGCCGUUGUCUCCGGCGUUCAAGGGCAUGGUGGCGGGCAGCAGUAAUCUUACUUGCUGGUGAUGCCUCCCCCUGGUGGAAGUCCUGGUAUUCCCUCCUCGGCCAGGAAUUUGAUCACAUACAAGAGGUCAGGAUCUUCAUCUUUGGACCUCAUCAUCUGGAUGAUUUCUUACCUGUAGCCAGGAUGUGGUCCAGCAGGUUCCUGGAGCAGUACUGGGCCACUGUGCUCCCAGCAUGGCCGUCAAACACAGCAUAAUAGGCCCACUCGCUCAGCUCCCCUCUCAUUUGAGGCAUGCACGUGUGCGCAUCUUCCAUCUGAGCCCUCCAGCCCUGCAUGUUUGCCACCGCGUAGUUCACCCCAGACUGGGAUCCCCCCUCGGACACGUGUUUCUCCAAAAUGGGCCGCUCCAGGUACGGGCUGGGCAUGCCGUCGUCGUCGUCCUCUUCCUCCUCCUCGAGCCCCUUCUCUCUCGAGCCGCCUUUGAAGAAGAAGGUGACCAUCUUCCCGGUUUCCUUAACCAGCUGGCGGAGGAAGGAGGGCACCUCCACGUUGCUCGCCCUGCGCGCUGUCCUCAUCACGCCUCUGAGUCGCUGCUCAAGCUUCCUGCUCGACCUGGCCGCCGCUCGUUGUCUCCUCUUGCUGGUGGCCCUGCGCCGGCCGUUUGUCUUCCUCAGCAGGUCCAGGGCAACGAAUGAGCAGAUGCUCAGAUGACCAGGCUGCCCGGCUUCUCCCUGUUUGCCGUAGCGUACUGUACUCUAACAGCGCUGCAGCCAUGGUGAUGAUGAUGAUGAUGAGAGAGCAAGCAGCAGGAGGAAGAGGAUGGUGGAGGGGGAGUCAGGGCGGGGCGGCCAGAGGCAGGAAGCUGCUCACACAGACCACCGUGGGACCACAGCAGGC
Molecule: non-coding RNA, 991 nt
Organism: Nerophis lumbriciformis (worm pipefish)
Lineage: Eukaryota; Metazoa; Chordata; Actinopteri; Syngnathiformes; Syngnathidae
Source: RefSeq, a predicted model, not a curated record